UCUACAGCCAUAUCACCCUGAACGUGUCCUAUCUCAUCUGGUCUUGGAAGCUAAGCUGUGUUGGUCCUGAUUAGUACUUCAAUGGAAGACAAAUCUUCAAAAGAGACUGCUUAAAGAC
RNAcentral lists this ribosomal RNA (118 nucleotides) under Castor canadensis (American beaver). Lineage: Eukaryota; Metazoa; Chordata; Mammalia; Rodentia; Castoridae. The record is from RNAcentral.